RNAcentral lists this transfer RNA (74 nucleotides) under Serpula lacrymans var. lacrymans S7.3. It matches the Rfam family "tRNA". Rfam says of the family: Transfer RNA (tRNA) molecules are approximately 80 nucleotides in length. The record is from Rfam by way of RNAcentral. Lineage: Eukaryota; Fungi; Basidiomycota; Agaricomycetes; Boletales; Serpulaceae.
GGGCUGGUAGCUCAGUUGGUUAGAGCACCACUAUAUAUAGGCAAAGGUCCUGGGUUCAAUCCCCGGCUGGUCCA